CAAGUCGAGCGGAUGAAAGGAGCUUGCUCUUGGAUUCAGCGGCGGACGGGUGAGUAAUGCCUAGGAAUCUGCCUGGUAGUGGGGGACAACGCUUUCGAAAGGAACGCUAAUACCGCAUACGUCCUACGGGAGAAAGCAGGGGACCUUCGGGCCUUGCGCUAUCAGAUGAGCCUAGGUCGGAUUAGCUAGUUGGUGAGGUAAUGGCUCACCAAGGCGACGAUCCGUAACUGGUCUGAGAGGAUGAUCAGUCACACUGGAACUGAGACACGGUCCAGACUCCUACGGGAGGCAGCAGUGGGGAAUAUUGGACAAUGGGCGAAAGCCUGAUCCAGCCAUGCCGCGUGUGUGAAGAAGGUCUUCGGAUUGUAAAGCACUUUAAGUUGGGAGGAAGGGUUGUAGAUUAAUACUCUGCAAUUUUGACGUUACCGACAGAAUAAGCACCGGCUAACUCUGUGCCAGCAGCCGCGGUAAUACAGAGGGUGCAAGCGUUAAUCGGAAUUACUGGGCGUAAAGCGCGCGUAGGUGGUUUGUUAAGUUGGAUGUGAAAUCCCCGGGCUCAACCUGGGAACUGCAUCCAAAACUGGCAAGCUAGAGUAUGGUAGAGGGUGGUGGAAUUUCCUGUGUAGCGGUGAAAUGCGUAGAUAUAGGAAGGAACACCAGUGGCGAAGGCGACCACCUGGACUGAUACUGACAUUGAGGUGCGAAAGCGUGGGGA
RNAcentral lists this ribosomal RNA (715 nucleotides) under uncultured Pseudomonas sp. RNAcentral's name for it is "bacterial SSU rRNA". It matches the Rfam family "Bacterial small subunit ribosomal RNA", at positions 58 to 767 of the family's 1533-position model. Lineage: Bacteria; Pseudomonadati; Pseudomonadota; Gammaproteobacteria; Pseudomonadales; Pseudomonadaceae. The record is from RNAcentral.